Molecule: ribosomal RNA, 449 nt
Filed under: uncultured bacterium
Lineage: Bacteria
Description: bacterial SSU rRNA
Rfam family: Bacterial small subunit ribosomal RNA
Source: RNAcentral
CCCAGACUCCUACGGGAGGCAGCAGUGGGGGAUAUUGCACAAUGGGGGAAACCCUGAUGCAGCGACGCCGCGUGGGCGAAGAAGUAUUUCGGUAUGUAAAGCCCUAUCAGCAGGGAAGAAGAAAUGACGGUACCUGAGUAAGAAGCACCGGCUAAAUACGUGCCAGCAGCCGCGGUAAUACGUAUGGUGCAAGCGUUAUCCGGAUUUACUGGGUGUAAAGGGAGCGCAGGCGGCACGGCAAGCCUGAUGUGAAAGCCCGCGGCCCAACUGCGGGACUGCUUUGGAAACUGCCCGGCUAGAGUGCUGGAGAGGUAAGCGGAAUUCCUAGUGUAGCGGUGAAAUGCGUAGAUAUUAGGAGGAACACCAGUGGCGAAGGCGGCUUGCUGGACAGUAACUGACGUUGAGGCUCGAAAGCGUGGGGAGCAAACAGGAUUAGAUACCCCUGUACG